RNAcentral lists this ribosomal RNA (371 nucleotides) under uncultured organism. RNAcentral describes it as "partial 16S ribosomal RNA". It matches the Rfam family "Bacterial small subunit ribosomal RNA", at positions 527 to 896 of the family's 1533-position model. The record is from RNAcentral.
GUAGGUGGCAAGCGUUGUCCGGAAUUAUUGGGCGUAAAGCGCGCGCAGGCGGUUCUUUAAGUCUGAUGUGAAAGCCCACGGCUCAACCGUGGAGGGUCAUUGGAAACUGGAGAACUUGAGUACAGAAGAGGAAAGCGGAAUUCCACGUGUAGCGGUGAAAUGCGUAGAGAUGUGAGGAACACCAGUGGCGAAGGCGGCUUUCUGGUCUGUAACUGACGCUGAGGCGCGAAAGCGUGGGGAGCAAACAGGAUUAGAUACCCUGGUAGUCCACGCCGUAAACGAUGAGUGCUAAGUGUUAGGGGGUUUCCGCCCCCCUUAGUGCUGCAGCUAACGCAUUAAGCACUCCGCCUGGGAGUACGGCCGCAAGGCUG